GACGAACGCUGGCGGCGUGCCUAACACAUGCAAGUCAACUUGACUGAAGGAGCAAUCUGACAGUAGAGUGGCGCAAGGGUGCGUAACGCCGUAAGUAACUUGCCCCAAGGUAAGGAAUAACGUCGAGAAAUCGGCGCUAAUACCUCAUAAUGCAGCGGAUCCGCAUGGAUAUGUUGUUAAAGGUUUACCGCCUUGGGAUAGGCUUGCGUCUGAUUAGCUAGUUGGUGUGGUAACGGCACACCAAGGCUACGAUCAGUAACUGGUCUGAGAGGAUGAUCAGUCACACUGGAACUGAGACACGGUCCAGACUCUACGGGAGCAGCAAGUGAGGAAUAUUGGGCAAUUGCUCGAAAGAGUGACCCAGCAACGCCGCGUGGAGGAUGAAGGUAUUCUAUAUCGUAAACUCCUGUGAGAGCAGACG
This 421-nucleotide ribosomal RNA is filed under the name uncultured bacterium. Its description in RNAcentral is "bacterial SSU rRNA". It matches the Rfam family "Bacterial small subunit ribosomal RNA", at positions 28 to 447 of the family's 1533-position model. The record is from RNAcentral.